This 42-nucleotide non-coding RNA is filed under the name Echinostoma caproni. Lineage: Eukaryota; Metazoa; Platyhelminthes; Trematoda; Plagiorchiida; Echinostomatidae. The record is from RNAcentral.
CUCGAUAUGACGAGUCCCAAACAGGACGAAACAGCUGUCCAG